RNAcentral lists this microRNA precursor (206 nucleotides) under Oryza brachyantha (malo sina). RNAcentral's name for it is "MIR812 microRNA precursor family". It matches the Rfam family "MIR812 microRNA precursor family". Lineage: Eukaryota; Viridiplantae; Streptophyta; Magnoliopsida; Poales; Poaceae. The record is from Rfam by way of RNAcentral.
AAUAAACCAAAAUUUUACUUUUUGCCUAUAAUUUUUGACUUUUCGUCUUAUUCAAAAUUUUUUUACAAUUGAUAUUUUUAUUUUUAUUAAUAAUAAAUCAUAAAUAGUACUUUAUGUGUGACUAAUUUUUUUCUAAUUUCCUGAAAACUUUUCAAAUAAGACGGAUGGUCAAAUGAUGGACACGAAAACCAGAGAAUUCUCUGGUU